GAUGAAGAACGUAGCGAAAUGCGAUAAGUAAUGUGAAUUGCAGAAUUCAGUGAAUCAUCGAGUCUUUGAACGCACAUUGCGCCCCCUGGUAUUCCGGGGGGCAUGCCUGUCCGAGCGUCAUUGCUGCCCUCAAGCACGGCUUGUGUGUUGGGCCCCCGUCCCCGGUUUCCCCCGGGGACGGGCCCGAAAGGCAGCGGCGGCACCGCGUCCGGUCCUCGAGCGUAUGGGGCUUUGUCACCCGCUCUGUAGGCCCGGCCGGCGCCAGCCGACACCCAAUUUUAUUUCUAAGGUUGACCUCGGAUCAGGUAGGGAUACCCGCUGAACUUAAGCAUAUCAAUACGGAGGA
This 346-nucleotide unclassified non-coding RNA is filed under the name soil metagenome. Its description in RNAcentral is "partial contains 5.8S ribosomal RNA, internal transcribed spacer 2, and large subunit ribosomal RNA". The stretch from base 1 to 120 matches the Rfam family "5.8S ribosomal RNA", at positions 35 to 154 of the family's 154-position model. The record is from RNAcentral.